AAUCAACGUUGGCGGCGCGCUUAACACAUGCAAGUCGAGGGGUUUCAGGGGCAACUCUGGAGCACCGGCGAACGGGUGCGUAACACGUGAGCGACCUGCCCGCUUGUGGGGGAUAGCCGGCCCAACGGCCGGGUAAUACCGCAUACGCUUCUUGGGGGGCAUACCCUGGGAAGGAAAGCUUUAGUGCAGGCGGAGGGGCUCGCGGCCUAUCAGCUAGUUGGCGGGGUAACGGCCCACCAAGGCGAUGACGGGUAGCUGGUCUGAGAGGAUGGCCAGCCACAUUGGGACUGAGAGACGGCCCAGACUCCUACGGGAGGCAGCAGUGGGGAAUCUUGGACAAUGGGGGAAACCCUGAUCCAGCCAUGCCGCGUGAGUGAUGAAGGCCUUC
Molecule: ribosomal RNA, 388 nt
Filed under: uncultured bacterium
Lineage: Bacteria
Description: bacterial SSU rRNA
Rfam family: Bacterial small subunit ribosomal RNA
Source: RNAcentral